RNAcentral lists this unclassified non-coding RNA (247 nucleotides) under Hevea brasiliensis (rubber tree). Lineage: Eukaryota; Viridiplantae; Streptophyta; Magnoliopsida; Malpighiales; Euphorbiaceae. The record is from RNAcentral.
AAAAAAAAAAAAAAAAAAACCCAAAGCUUUUUCUUUCUCCCUUUUUUGUCAAUGGUGGAGUGUGACUGUGACAAGCUUCUGUCUGUCUCAAAAUCCUUCUUCACUGAUUAAUAAUAUAAUCAUUUUAAUUAACUAAAAUUACUCUCUCUUUCAUUUCCUAUAAAGCCACUUCUCUCUCUCUCUUCUUCAUUCCACUUCUUCACUAAUUUAUUCCAAUUUCUUAAUGGAUUCGGAGGAUGAGUUCGAU